Molecule: transfer RNA, 87 nt
Filed under: Francisellaceae bacterium
Lineage: Bacteria; Pseudomonadati; Pseudomonadota; Gammaproteobacteria; Thiotrichales; Francisellaceae
Description: tRNA-Leu
Rfam family: tRNA
About the family: Transfer RNA (tRNA) molecules are approximately 80 nucleotides in length. Their secondary structure includes four short double-helical elements and three loops (D, anti-codon, and T loops). Further hydrogen bonds mediate the characteristic L-shaped molecular structure. tRNAs have two regions of fundamental functional importance: the anti-codon, which is responsible for specific mRNA codon recognition, and the 3' end, to which the tRNAs corresponding amino acid is attached (by aminoacyl-tRNA synthetases). tRNAs cope with the degeneracy of the genetic code in two manners: having more than one tRNA (with a specific anti-codon) for a particular amino acid; and 'wobble' base-pairing, i.e. permitting non-standard base-pairing at the 3rd anti-codon position.
Source: RNAcentral
GCCGAAGUGGUGGAAUUGGUAGACGCGCCGGAUUCAAAAUCCGGUUUCCGCAAGGAAGUGAGAGUUCGAGUCUCUCCUUCGGCACCA